GACGAACGCUGGCGGCGUGCUUAACACAUGCAAGUCGAACGGAAAGGCCCUGCUUUUGUGGGGUGCUCGAGUGGCGAACGGGUGAGUAACACGUGAGUAACCUGCCCUUGUCUUUGGGAUAACUUCAGGAAACUGGGGCUAAUACCGGAUAGGAGCUCCUGCUGCAUGGUGGGGGUUGGAAAGUUUCGGCGGUUGGGGAUGGACUCGCGGCUUAUCAGCUUGUUGGUGGGGUAGUGGCUUACCAAGGCUUUGACGGGUAGCCGGCCUGAGAGGGUGACCGGCCACAUUGGGACUGAGAUACGGCCCAGACUCCUACGGGAGGCAGCAGUGGGGAAUAUUGCACAAUGGGCGGAAGCCUGAUGCAGCAACGCCGCGUGCGGGAUGACGGCCUUCGGGUUGUAAACCGCUUUCGCCUGUGACGAAGCGUGAGUGGCGGUAAUGGGUAAAGAAGCACCGGCUAACUACGUG
RNAcentral lists this ribosomal RNA (468 nucleotides) under uncultured bacterium. RNAcentral describes it as "partial 16S ribosomal RNA". It matches the Rfam family "Bacterial small subunit ribosomal RNA", at positions 28 to 507 of the family's 1533-position model. The record is from RNAcentral.